This 279-nucleotide long non-coding RNA is filed under the name Sarcophilus harrisii (Tasmanian devil). RNAcentral's name for it is "lncRNA (ENSSHAG00000021030.1)". Lineage: Eukaryota; Metazoa; Chordata; Mammalia; Dasyuromorphia; Dasyuridae. The record is from RNAcentral.
AAUCAGGCAGCCGCGGGGCUGGAGGGAGCUCGUCCUGGUACCGCCUCUAUCUUUGGGAGAAAGAGGGAGAGAGAGGGAGAGGAGAGGAGAGGGCAGGAGAGGAGAGGACAGGAGAGGAGAAGCCGGGCGGGGAGACUGGGCCAAGGGCCGGGACACAUGGAUUAGCCAGGCGCCCUCUCGGGCCGGUGUCCGCCAGCCGCACCAUGGGCAAACUUCACUCCAAACACGCUGCCGUGUGUAAGCGCAGGGAGAGCCCCGAAGGUGACAGCUUCGCAGUGA